AGUGAACGCUGGCGGUAGGCCUAACACAUGCAAGUCGAACGGCAGCACAGUAAGAGCUUGCUCUUACGGGUGGCGAGUGGCGGACGGGUGAGGAAUACAUCGGAAUCUACUUUUUCGUGGGGGAUAACGUAGGGAAACUUACGCUAAUACCGCAUACGACCUACGGGUGAAAGCAGGGGAUCUUCGGACCUUGCGCGAUUGAAUGAGCCGAUGUCGGAUUAGCUAGUUGGCGGGGUAAAGGCCCACCAAGGCGACGAUCCGUAGCUGGUCUGCGAGGAUGAUCAGCCACACUGGAACUGAGACACGGUCCAGACUCCUACGGGAGGCAGCAGUGGGGAAUAUUGGACAAUGGGCGCAAGCCUGAUCCAGCCAUACCGCGUGGGGGAAGAAGGCCUUCGGGUUGUAAAGCCCUUUUGUUGGGAAAGAAAAGCAGCAGGUUAAUACCCCGCUGUUCUGACGGUACCCAAAGAAUAAGCACCGGCUAACUUCGUG
Molecule: ribosomal RNA, 492 nt
Filed under: uncultured bacterium
Lineage: Bacteria
Description: partial 16S ribosomal RNA
Rfam family: Bacterial small subunit ribosomal RNA
Source: RNAcentral